GACGAACGCUGGCGGCGUGCUUAACACAUGCAAGUCGAACGGACAGGCCCUGCUUUUGUUGGUUGCUCGUUUGGCGCACGGGUGAGUAACACGUGUGUAACCUGCCCCUGACUUUGGGAUAUCUUCACGAAACUGGGGCUCAUACCCGAUAGGAGCUCCUGCUGCAUGGUGUGGGUUGGUAAGUUUCGGUGUUUGGGGAUGUACUCGCUGCUUAUCAGCUUGUUUGUGUGGUAGUGGCUUACCAAGGCUUUGACGGGUAGCCGGCCUGGGAGGGUGACCGGCGACAUUGGGACUGAGAGAGGGACCAGACGCGAACGGGAGGCAGCGGUGGGGAGUAUGACAGAGUGGGGGGAAGUCAGAGACGGAGACGCCGGGUGCGGGAUAACGGGCUACGAGUUGUAAACCGAUUUCGCCUGUGACGAAGAGUGAGUGACGGUAAUGGGUAAAGAAGCACCGGCUAACUACGUG
This 468-nucleotide ribosomal RNA is filed under the name uncultured bacterium. RNAcentral describes it as "partial 16S ribosomal RNA". It matches the Rfam family "Bacterial small subunit ribosomal RNA", at positions 28 to 507 of the family's 1533-position model. The record is from RNAcentral.